UGUCCAGAGCGCGGAGCAACACAACCAAGAUGUCAACUCUCUUGGUCUCAUCUCCUCAAGGAAGACCGCAGAGGCCAUUGACAUAUUGAAGCUCAUGUCCUCGACAUUCUUGGUCGCGUUGUGCCAGGCUAUCGACCUCCGCCACCUCGAGGAGAAUGUCAAGAAUGCUGUCAAGAGCUGCGUGAAGACGGUGGCUAGGAAGACACUGAGCACUGAUAACAAUGGCCAUCUCCACAAGGCACGCUUCUGCGAGAAGGAUCUUCUGCUCACAAUCGACCGUGAGGCCGUGUUCGUGUACGCAGAUGACCCCUGCAGCGCCAACUAUCCCCUCAUGCAGAAGAUGCGUGCAGUUCUUGUGGAGCACGCCUUGGCCAAUGGUGAGGCCGAGCGCGACGUGGAGACGUCGGUGUUUGCCAAGCUUGCCAUGUUCGAGCAGGAGCUCCGUGCAGUGUUGCCAAAUGAGGUCGAGGCCGCCCGCAGUGCCGUGGAGAAUGGCACUGCAACACAGCAAAACCGUAUCGCCGAUUGUCGGUCGUACCCGCUCUACCGGUUCGUGCGCAAGGAGCUUGGAACAGAGUACUUGACCGGGGAGAAGACGCGGUCUCCUGGCGAAGAGGUGGACAAGGUGUUCGUUGCCAUGAACCAGGGCAAGCACAUCGACGCGCUGCUGGAGUGUCUCAAGGAGUGGAACGGCGAGCCCCUACCUAUCUGUUGAACAGAGGAUCCAGGAAUGGAAGAGCAGUUGCUUCAGAUUUCAGAAGGCUCCAGUGAUUAUACUGUUUUUUCAUUGUAAUUUCUAAAAGUUGAUGUUUGCAACGUUCUUCCAGAGCUUCCAAUGCCAAAGAUUGCAAUUGCAUGACUUGGUAGUGUUGGGUAGCCGGUAGAACUUUGUUGAUGUAAGUUAUAAAAGGGUACAGUGUGUGAUAAGUUUCCAUGAUAAAUAUACUGGUUCAAGAAAGUAAAACUCGUGCCUUCCAGAGCUGCCAGUGGUAACUCCGUACUUGCUAGUUCCAUCAACACUGUACGAGGCCGUCUCUGAGUUCUCAAUCUUGCAUCUAGUUUUUGCAGUUUCAGUACUCUGCUCACUAAGUUCAAUCUAGACUUUAGUAUAAUGACUAACACUGUAUUAUUCACCUAUCGUACUACCGCAUACCUCUUCAUACAAUGUUUCGAUUGUUAAAGUAAGAUACAGGAGGGAAUGUCACAUGAAUGAAGAUCCUAACACCAAAACCAUCCUUAAUUUACUGCUCAUCUCAGGAUGUCCAUAACCAAGGCACAUACACAUGAAGUUUCUCUGCGCUUCUGAAGAUCGCACUAUUUUUUCAGUUCUAGUCAUGCGUCGGCAGGAAACGUAUAUGGAGAUUGUAAGGUUGCUCACGCAUGUGGCGCGUAUUACUACUCCUUUUGGCGCGUGCACCGACUGUCCACCGUAUCCUACCGACGUAUGUAUAAUGUAUGUCCGGCUGCACCGGCCGGCCACCGUAUCCUGCCAACUAACGCGUUCGUGUUGGAUGAAAUGAAGGUGUCAACCAGCUGUGUCCUGAUCUCGAACUCGAUAGGAGAAACAGAAAGCAGUCAAGUAGUCGUCUUCAAACGCGGUAGCGUGUCGGAGUACAGAGUUGAUCGUCGACAGAGUACAUAAUUAGAUAUGCUAGAUGCUCUCCCUGCAAAUCGCUGAUACAACGAUGCCUGACGAUUGCGUUGUUGUUAUUUGUUGCUUGUGUUUUUUAGGGAAUAGGCUUCAGCCAAGCUUUAUUAUAAGCUCGUGGUUCAGUACACAGUGUAGCAGAAGAGAGAAACCAAGGAGAUUCCUAGUUUUACAUAACAGGCGUGCAGAAAUAGAGGAGAAAAAACAAACUUUCAGGAACGGUAAAGACUAGCUCCUCAACAUACCUCACACGAAAAAAAUAGAAAGCAGUAGCGUCACUGGUUAUCAAUUUUUUCCCUCAAGCUGUUGUUUCAGCCUGACGACGCCCCCAUCGAAAUCUGCUUCAAGUUUCUUCUUCCAUCGUUGCUCAAGUUUUAGCACAAAGUGGAUUAGAAGGCAAGCAUACAAAAUCAGAGAAGGAAAGCCCGCAAGAAAGAUGAAAACGAGCUCCCCAACAUAUCAUCCUCACAUAUAACUCCCCUACAAGAUAGCACAAGAAAAAGCAGCUGUGUCAUUGGUUGAUUUUGCUGAAGCACUUGUUGUAGCUUGACGCCGCCGCCAUUCAUUUCAACCUAAAGCUUCUCCUUCCACCGUUUUCUCCAAUGCUGCAAUUGAAUGAUAACCUUGUAAGUGACAUCCGAAGGACAACGGAUAGCUUGGCCUCAAAUAUGAGAACAUCGCGGGCUAGCCACGUUGAGCGGAAGAACAAAGCCAGAUCAACAUCCGCGUCCCGAAAACUCCCCUAUAGAUUCAAAGCCGUAGCACAGCGAUUGUCAUGGCGCAAACAACACCAGCUGCACUUCUGAUUCGGUAGACUACUCAUUGGUUCUAAUAAAAAGAAGUUAAAAUGGUUCCUACGUAGUAACACAAUCACUGGUCGUUGUUAUCUUCGUGGUGGCUAGUUCCGCUUCCGUCCACAAAAUAUGAUGGCUUCUCUGAAUUCUCAGUCUUGUACCCACUUGUUCCUAUUUAAGUGUUCUAUUUACCAACUUCAGCCUGAAAUGUAACAAAUGCACAUAAUACAUAACAAAAGCACAUAAUAUGUUGUUCUCCUAACUUGGUGCUAUUAACAUAUUUUAGAUAGAAGAUUCUCAUUUCUUUGUUGGUGGCCGAACACAAAUAAUUUCUUUCGUCCAUAAAAAUGUUCACUAAACCAAAUAUCAUGUUCACAUGUAAUUUAAAGGGCACUCAAAGGAAGCUAACAAGAUGAAGUGACAUACAUGCCUCGCUAAAACCCCGCCCUCAUGUAUCAAAGAUCCCUCUCAUAUAUGAUUAAGAUUUGAGGAGAAAUUGAGGGAGUAAUAUUUUGGGGUUAUGUUAGGGGUGCAAUUACAGUUGGUAGGAUUCUUAAGCACACUCAACAUAUGCAGUUGAGUUGUUCAUUCAAGGGGAAAAUGCAGUUGUUCGUGCAUGCAUGGGAAACUGAUGCAUGGUAAAAUGUUAGCAAGUCAAUGGUCAACAACUUGAAUGCUGAUGAUUUGGUGGUGGAGUUCUUGGCAACCAUAGGUCAAGCGGAAUAUUAAUAUCCUCGCAGAACAAGUCUAACGUCAACAAAGAUGAGGUCGAAAUUAGGCAAUUGCCGGUCUUACGUCUUUAGCACCCAGGGUGCGAGAAUGUUUCAGGAAGAAAAUUGUGGAUAUUCCCUGAUUAGCAUGGGCGUUGAUGUUCAACUUAACUAGAUAAUACCCCCGCACGUUGUUGCGGGAAUAUUUUGUAACAUAUUUCAUUGUGUUUCGUUGUUGAAAACAUGAAUAUUUGAAAUAAUAAUACAAAACCUAAAACUAAAUAAUGCAUAUAAUUUAUUACGUUUGAUUACUAUAUAGUUGUAAAAUGUUUAUUAAAUAUAAAUAGCAUAAUAGAAUGAAAAUUCUCAUCUAUAUUUGCAUGUUGAGGUGGGUCUUUUUUCCAUGUAUGUUUCAUGAUGAAGUGGCAUGGUUGCAUGUUAAGAGACAUAUGCAGUGGGGUGGACCUUUUCUCACGCAUGUUGUUCGAUGAUAUGACAUGAUUGCAUGUUGAAAGAAAUAGUUAGUGAAGGCUAGCUAUUUAGCUAUAGAAGAUUUAAGCCAACAACCAAAUGGUCUCAAAAACAUUUCUUGAGUUAGGCAGUUAGCUAGCUCUCAUCGUUAUCUGCUUCAUUGGCAUGGGCACCGGUUAUAUAAAGGUGGAAAAAAUCUAUUUUUUUCAGGGAAAACAUCCAGUCUAUUAAUCUUCAAUCAUAGGGGUAUAACGAACAUCAGAAAUAAUAAAAAUUACAUCCAGAUCUAUAGACCACUUAGCGACGAUUACAAGCACUGAAGCGAGCCGAAGGCGCGCCGCCGUCAUCGCCACUCCCUCACCGGAGCCGGGCAAAACUUAUUGUAGUAUACAAUCGGGAAGUCGUCGUGCUAAGGUUCCAUAGGACCAGCGCACCAGAAUAUUAACCACCACCGAUGAAGAGUAGUGUAUAUCAUUUAUAACUGAAGAUCACUGAAAACAUCUAGUUGUAAUAGUUUGGAGGAGUUUGCAUGUUUUUUGCUUCAGAGGGAAUGUCGGGCAAACACCCUGUCUAACUAACUUCACUAAAACCGCGACAUUACGGAGUGAAUAUUAUUCAGCCUGAACUUGCACGGUUGCAAAUUAUAGUACAUCUGAAUUAAUCUAAACUGAUUCACUCCUUCAGGAGAAACUACUUGCACAGCUCGAGUGUCCACGUGCAUUUUCACCUCCAGAGAAUCACAUGCAGUGUGAUCAUACUGAUACAAGCCGGGGUUCUUGUCCUUGCGACUCGUCGGAUCAGGUCCUCAACGAUCUCUUUCUAUAGACUGAAGGUCAAACAAGAAUGUGCACAUGUAUGCAUGCAUUCGACCAACCUGUUUUUGUAAGAGCUGGCCGAUUGGCUAUGGAAAAUACGCUCCCUGACUUCGCACGACCAAUCACUUGACCACCCAGACGAAUCUGGUGGACACAACGAUGUAAACUUUAUCAUCAGUAAUUUCAAGGAAGCAAUUUCUAUGGCAUGCGUGGUCACGGUGUCGCGUCGGUGUGCACGCGGUGACCGACCAGGAAAGGCCGGACGCAGGACCAGUGGACACCGGCCGGUUCCUCUCCGAUGGAACAGCCGGAAUUGAGGCUCAGGACUCGGGAGAGAAAUCAAACGUCGCUUGCCGUGGAACGCGUGAGUCCGUGCGUGAGGCGACAGGGCACAUGCCGCGUUGGCGUGCAAACGCGCGCAAUGAAGCCCGAUCUCCGUACCACCGAUCACUGAUUAGGACGCCACAUGCUGCAGUCGGACUCUCUCCACAGUCGAACUCUUUGCAGUGUACUGCUGAGAUUCCAGAAUAUCUGGUCGACACAAGUCAAGUCUGUCCAGUCAAGUGUGCACCGAGGAGCGAAACUUCACACCGGAGGACCGGCAGUAUGCAUCAGAAUGGCUUCACAUUCAGACCGUCAUUUACUCAUAUGGAGAUGGAAUUGCACGGACGACCAAGACAGGAACAAAAGCGGGUUUCCAGAUCUUGAGACGAAGCUUCAGUAGAUCAAGUGGAGCUGAUAAUAAAGGAAUCAACAAAUCCACGUGAUACUGAUCACCGGCGUGUUUCCGUCGCGGGACUCGGCGACUGACUCACCGUGGGAGGACUGAUCAGUGGAUUAAUAUAAUUAAUCCAUAGGAAAGCAGCAGGAAAAGGAUAGGAAAAUACUCGAGAUCAUGAUCGAGUUUAAGCCCCAUCUAACCAUGUGUGCUUGGUUACUAGUGUAGUACGUGGGGUUCUUCACACCCCAAAGCAGUAGUACUAGUGGCCUAGUGAGCAGAUAACGACUCCGUUGUCCAUAGCAGGACUCCACUUUCUUUAGCUAAACAAAUCUAUCUCCUUUUCGGUUUAAGAUCUCCUUUCUGGUAGUUUGUACAUGUUGCAUGCAGCCGCCUUGCUUGUUUUAAAUGUUUCACUAUAGACGACACAGAACAUGAUUUACAUGAGUACAGUUUGCACGUUCGUAACUUUAGUGCAGCGGAGUUCAUCGUUAUAAUCGUACAUGCCAAAACAGGGGAUGGCGCUCUCGCGACCGCGCAGGUGGCGGCUGGGCGCGCGCCGCCGCCGGCCGGAUCUCCGGCCUCGGGCCUCCUUUGCUGCCGCCGAGACCGGAUCCGGACUCCCCGCGGCGUCCUCUCCCGCACCAGCCUCGGCGCCGCUCCGUCCCCUCAUCAACACCGCGACGCCACUCUCGCGAACCUCCGCCGCGGGAGCCGCUCCAGCGCCGUCUUCCACGUACAGAGAUCAGGUGACAUGCAUCUUUGCAUGUCACCGUGUGCCUUGCGGUCCGAAUUCAAAUUUAAACAUUACGAAAAAAUCUGAAAAAAAUCAUGCAUGUUCACAGCACAUAUUAAAAUAACCUCUAAAAAAUUCAGAUCAAAAUUCGAAACAUACAUCAAGAAGAAAAAAGAGAAACUCAGAUGUGAAUAGUAUACAGAGAACCAUUCGCAACUAUUCAUGACAGAUUUCUCUUUUUUCUUCUCGAUGUAUGUUUCGAAUUUUGAUCUGAAUUUUUUAGGAGUUAUCUUAAUAUGUGCUAUGAACAUGCAUGAUUUUUUUCAGAUUUUUUCGCAAUGUUUAAAUUUGAAUUCGGGCCGCAAGGCACACAGUAACAUGCAAAGGUGCAUGUCACCUGAUCUCUGUCCGUCUUCCACUGCUGCAGCCGCCGUCCUCCAGCCGCCAGCGUUGGUCCUUCGAGGGCUGAGCUCUGCCGUGGUCUCCUCUGCUUCCCCGAGUCCAGAUGCUCGCGAGUCCUCUGCCAUGUCGCUGCAGCUGCUGGGUCGUCAGACCUCGGUUGCCGGUGAUGUGGGUGCAGCCGUGGAGACCAGGUCGGGGCAGCCUCUGCCUGCGCGUGUCGUGCCAGCGUCGAACGCCCCGGCUGCAGGCAAUGUCCCGGCUACCGGCGCCAUCCCUCGACUGCGGCCGGUGCCCCCAAGUUUCAGAUUUAGGAAGGAAGCUGGGGGUGUUAAGGCCUCGCUGCGUUCCAAGACCGCGACAACAGCUGCUUCGGCACCGCCGCCUGCUACCCCCACCCUACUUGCCAAUGCCGCCACGGGCUUGCUGUUGCCGGCUCUUGUUGCCCCGGCCAAUGGCGACGGCAUGGACUGCGAAGAGGAGCUGCCCUCCCUGUCUCCAUCAGCUAACGCAGAGGGCAUCGUCGUUGGCAUGGGGGAUUUGCUGACCAGUGCGCGAAGUUCUGUUUUGUGGGCCUCUGCCGCUGACGAUGAAGACGAAGACGAAGAGGAGCUGGCCCCUCAGACGCCGCCGGCUGCAGCCAAGGCCGUCGACUCUGGCGAGAUGUGUGUGGGUCAUGAGGUGGACAUGGGUGGGGGUUGGCAGGAGGUGCUGCCGUGGUGCAGCCCGCAUCGGCUGACAUUGCCGCCGUCAUCCACGACAAUAGCUCUUCGUCCCAUUCCUGCUUGGCUUCACGGUAGAUGCUACAGAUGCUUUGCUCAUGGGCAUGGUGCGGCUCAUUGCAGAGAUCCGUUGCGGUGCUCACGUUGUUUGGAGAAUGGUCAUCGUGCGCACGGAUGUCGCAAUCCCUGGCGUCCUCUAAGCUCGCUGGCAUGCCUUGCCACGCUGCCCGUGGCCAGCGUCAACACCAUGCAUGGUCCUACAUCAGCUUUACGCAAGGGUCCAAUGAAAUUCGCGCCCCCCUCCAAGGCGCUUCACCGUGGGUCCUGGGCGUCUGUUGUAUCUGCUACGGCGGACUCGACAACCUCAUCUGAAGUGGUGCUGCAGUCCGCUCUAGCUGAUCAGAUUGCGCUGCUGCAAGGCUGCCUGGUGCGGGUUGGGAGCUUUUUGGAGCGGGCGGAGGUUGCUCUGAGUAGACUCUCCCUUAUGCCGGCUAUGCUGCAAACUGCUAUGACGUCACAUCCUCCUAUUGCAGUUGGUGUUUGCUCCGAGGAGCACACAGAGGCAAAGUUAUAUGGUUGUUUCUCCCCCCAUGUUGGGGACAUUUCGUCGUUGAUGUCUGCCUUGCCCCUUGUGUUAUGUACCUCUCAAGACGAGUCCAUUGCCAUGCUCGUGGCUCCGGUGCUGCAAAUCAUGCCCGAGAUUAGGGAGCUAUGUAUGAGCUCUGCUUCGCUUUUGUCAGUGAAGCACAUAAAGGUGGACUCACUAGUGACCUCGUGUGUGGGAGAUGAUUCAUGUUUGUCAUGUGAGCAUCCAGAGGCAUCUUCUGAGUCCUUCGGGUCGGAGGUGCAUGUGGUUGAGGAUAUUGAUGUGGCCGGUGUGUGCGCUAAUAGGAAGGCGUCUGCGGUUUCUUGAUGGAUGAUGCUUGUUUCUUGUGUUGUCGAUGUGAUUGUCCAAGUCAUUGUUGUUGGUGUUCUUGUCAGGGUUCUGUUGAGUUGUGCAAGUGUGGUGAGGUACGAUUGUUGUGUGUUAGGAGCAUGUGACGGGUUGUCUGUGUGGUCACGGUGUUUCGUGCUUCCCGAGUAGCCUGUUUCGGGUUGUUUGUAUCGGUUUCGCCCGGUUUUCCGAAAAUUAACUGGGCAAUUCUUUUCUUCUUAAUUAAUCGACGAGGCAAAUAUUUUGCCUCCGUUUCAAAAAAAACUUUAGUGCAGCGUUACCUCAAACAAAAAGCAAAAAUAGAACUCGUAGUGCACGGUUACUCGAAUCAGACUAUCAAUUAUCAAUUAGUAGGUUAUAGCAUGCAGCAUGUGUAUUUCAUGCGGUUGGUGUGAUGGGUAACUAAUUAACAAACAUGUACUCCCUCCGUCCGGAAAUACUUGUCAUCAAAAUGGAUAAAAGGAGAUGUAUCUAGACAUAUAAAAUAUUUUAAAUAUUUUAUUCACCGUAUAAAUUCAUUCCCUGGUAAAUCUCCUUUCUCCUUCCCUUCAACUCUCUUCCUCUGCCCCCUCUCUUGAGAGUCGACCAGGGCUGCCCGGCCCGGUCCAACGCCUCGUCCGACGGCACUACCGACCGGCGAUGGCUACAUAGAGGUGCCCGGGUCCUCCAUGUGCAUAUUAGGAUAGUAGAAGUCCUAGUUAAUCUUGGCUUUAUGUCGUGGUUUGGUGCCAUAUGCCAGCCUAUAGCUUAUGAGUGGUGUCGUUUGGUCGUCGAUGUUGUCUUCUUCCUUGCCCCCAUGGUGGAGGAAAGAGGAGGGCCAUGGAUCUGGCAGUAUCCCCCUCAAUAAGUUUGCUCCGAUGCUCUGGUAAGUGGUGGAGGUGGUGAGGUCGCUAUUUUUCUCUAGCCGUCGAGGUGGCGGCAAGAAGAGAUGUGUCGGAUCCAAGCACUCCUUGCCUUGUUGUUGUUCUGUUGUGUCGGAUCUGUGCGACUGGCACCGGCUUGGUUGGUUCCUAUGUUGCAGGAAGAGGUUUCCCAACUCGCCUUGUUUUUGCAGGAAGAUCCAGAUGCAGGGUGGUGAAGAUGUUGUUGGGGACAAGUGGAUCUUGGGCGACUGCUUUGGAUUAUCCUACGCAUCCACUGCGGCUGUCAAUGACUGAUCCGUUCCAACACGUGUUCGAUUUGCUUGGCCAAAGAGCGGACAGUUUUCUUCCUCGCGGCCACGUAUGUCACAAGGGAAGUAGUGCAUCCUUCAAGUAGAGUUCAUGGUGUGCUUCUAUGAAGAUUUCAUUGAACCAAGUGGUUGCGUACCCGGCACUGACUAAGUUUGUUCUGUGAGGUGGGUAUGUUGGACCUGAUUGCACUAUAUAUCCGUGUUUCGGGGUCCUUCUCGUAAAGUACAAGGACUUGGUUGUCAUUUCUUUCUAGUUUGGGGCAUGCCAUAAGAUGCUAUGUAACUUCACUUGGAUCAAUAUAGCAUCUGGGUCCUUUGAGACCCUUUAUUUGUUUAAAAAACCAUUCAUUACAAUUUAAACUAUGCAAAAAACUUGCAAAAAAGGAAAAGGAAAAGAAACAACUUAACAUGAAAAUUUGAACAUGAUACAAUUAAAUAUAGUGAGAUUUGCAACCAACUUAGAAUGCUCUAAUGGAUGAUGUCUGGCCAAUUUUAAAGCUUGACCAACAGUCCAAUCGAAAAAACCUGCAGCUGACCUCUUCUCUUAUUUUUGAAGAUGCUUUGGUCUUUUAGCAACAAACCGAAAAUAUUCAGAAAAUGGUGUUUAAGACAAAAAGAACUUUGAGCUCAAGCAACCAGAUAAUGAAGACCCAUUACACACUAGGCUGCCUAUAUUUUGUGAUUUAUUGAGGUAACACAUCUUAUGUGUAUUUAUUUGAUCACAUAGCAAUAUUAUUAAAAAAUGGCUUAAAUAUUUAGGUUUUUCAUCUCCAAUGAACCAGCUAAACCGAUGGUCCGACCGGUGAAAAUCAAAACUGACAACCUCAUCGAUUCAGUUGCCGGUCCCGUUUUGAAAACUAUGGUUGCAUGGUAGACAUGCUCUCAUGUUCACAUGAUAAGAACGUUAUGGACCAAACGUGUAAAUUUGUUAGUUACAAUAAUUUUGAUAACAUGGAAGCUUGCACAUGCAACCAAAUAGCUAUUUAAUGACUUGUAUCAUGGUUUAUCUAUGUAGGAUAUAUGGAUUAUAGUUAACACACAUACAUGUCUAGUUAUCAGUUGCAAAACAAGUAGAUGCACAAGAAUGUCAUGGACUGGGCUUGGGCAGCACGAUGGAGCUACCGGACAAGCUCGGGUGGCCACGAUCACGACCGAGGCUGUGACGCCCGGAUAAUUAGGCUACAGUAAUUCCACGUUAAUGAUGCCACGUCACCACGGUUACUGUUGUUAAUCUCGUGUUAGUUCAAAAUCGAUUCGAAAUUCAAACUUAAAAUAAAGUCAAACGGUAAAGAUUUUCAAAUAUUAAAACUAAAAUGUUGGGGUGUUGCCAAAUAAGGCAUAGGUAAUUAUUGUGGAGAAACCACACUUUUAUAAAAUGUUUAAAGGCUCUAAAGUAAUUAAAACAGCAGCUGUGACAAUUAAAUAAAUGCCUUUUAAAAAUAAUAAUAAUGCAAACUAUUUUAAUUAGGUGUCAAACUUUUUGGGGCAGUAGAAUAAAUUAUAACAUUAAAUUAGGAGUUGUAUUUAUAUUUUAUAAAACAAAAAUUAAAAGAAUAAAAUAGAAAAGAAAAUAGAUAAAGAAAAGAAAACAGAAAAGAAACAAAAAAAAAGGAAAGACAAAGCCCCCCUCCCCCUGGGCCAUUCGGCCCAACUGGGCAUCCAGGCCACCAGGAGGCCCACCCCAUUCCCCCUUAUCCCCCUGACCGACCGAACCCUAGCCCGAUCCCCUUUCCCCACUCGCCCCACUCCCUCUCCCUCGUCCCACUCCUCCUCNNNNNNNNNNNNNNNNNNNNNNNNNNNNNNNNNNNNNNNNNNNNNNNNNNNNNNNNNNNNNNNNNNNNNNNNNNNNNNNNNNNNNNNNNNNNNNNNNNNNNNNNNNNNNNNNNNNNNNNNNNNNNNNNNNNNNNNNNNNNNNNNNNNNNNNNNNNNNNNNNNNNNNNNNNNNNNNNNNNNNNNNNNNNNNNNNNNNNNNNNNNNNNNNNNNNNNNNNNNNNNNNNNNNNNNNNNNNNNNNNNNNNNNNNNNNNNNNNNNNNNNNNNNNNNNNNNNNNNNNNNNNNNNNNNNNNNNNNNNNNNNNNNNNNNNNNNNNNNNNNNNNNNNNNNNNNNNNNNNNNNNNNNNNNNNNNNNNNNNNNNNNNNNNNNNNNNNNNNNNNNNNNNNNNNNNNNNNNNNNNNNNNNNNNNNNNNNNNNNNNNNNNNNNNNNNNNNNNNNNNNNNNNNNNNNNNNNNNNNNNNNNNNNNNNNNNNNNNNNNNNNNNNNNNNNNNNNNNNNNNNNNNNNNNNNNNNNNNNNNNNNNNNNNNNNNNNNNNNNNNNNNNNNNNNNNNNNNNNNNNNNNNNNNNNNNNNNNNNNNNNNNNNNNNCGCGCUCACCUCGCCUGUCGCGCUCCUGCCGCGCCCACCGUUGCUCCCGCUCCGUCCCGCUCCUGGCCGCGCCCAACGCCUCCCCCGUUGAGGCCUCUCUGCCGCGCCCGUGGCUGCGUCCAGCUGCGCCGUGGCCACGCCGUCGUGCCCUUUCCCCCGCCGUGGCUCGCAUCCGCCCCGCUCGCCGCCCCUGCUUCACUCCCCGUCCGCCCUUACGCCGCGCCCUUCUCCAGCCGUCGUCGCCUCCUGCCACGACCCUCUAGUGCCGCCCCCCUCCACUCAGCCACGCCGGCCCCGAGCGUGACGGCCGCAUCCCGCUCGCCCGGCCUGGCCGCGCCUCCUACCUCCCACUCCCCGCCUAACCGUCUGCGCCGCCACGACCUUGGGCCCGCCCACACGGGGGCCGCACGCUCUAACCGCUGCCGGCUCCGGUCGCCGUGGCCCUGGGCCCCCCCCCCUCCGUGCCUGGUGCUGGCGCUCGUCGCCGACGCCUUCUCUAUGCAAGAGCGCACAACCAGGACGCAUGGCCGUGUGCCACUGGCCAAUGGGGUCCGUUCCCUGAAAAGGAAAAGAGACAGAAACAAAAGAGAAAGAAAAGAUUUGGUAAAAAAAAUAAAAAAUAAAAAUAAAUUUAAUUAAUUAAUUAACUAAAUUAAUUAAGUUAAUUAAUCCUGUUUAAAUUAAUCUAAUUAAUUAGUUAAUUUAAUUAAACAGUAAUUAGUUUAACUAAACCCUAAUUAACCUAACAGAGUAUGACACAUGGGUCCCACUGGACCCACGCGUCAGUUAGACCCUGUAAACCCCUGUUGACUGCUGACGUCAGCAUGACAUCAUGCUGACGUCAUAAAUGCACUUUAGGAUUAAAUUAAUUCUGUUAAUUCUAGAAAAUGAUAAAAUCCUUUUAAAAUUAAUAUAAAAUAAACCGUAGCUCGGAUGGAAAAACCUUGUACAUGAAAGUUGCUCAGAACGAUGAGACGAAUCCGGAUGCGCAGCCCGUUUGUCCGCCACACAUCCCUAGCAUAGCAAACACGCAACUUUCCCCCUCCGGUCCGUCUGUCCGAAAACGCGAAACAUCGGAAAUACUUUCCCGGAUGCCCCCCCCCCUUCGCCGGUACCUCCUACUGCCGCGUUAGGGCACACCUAGCACCGCUCAUUGUCAUGUCACGCAUCGUCAUGCUUAUGUUUGCAUUGUAUUUACUGUUUCUUCCCCCCUCUUCUCUCCGGUAGACUACGAGACCGACGCUGCUGCUGCCCAGUUCGACUACGGAGUUGACGACCCCUCCUACUUGCCAGAGCAACCAGGCAAGCCCCCCCUUGAUCACCAGAUAUCGCCUAUUCUUCUCUAUACUGCUUGCAUUAGAGUAGUGUAGCAUGUUACUGCUUUCCGUUAAUCCUAUCCUGAUGCAUAGCCUGUCAUUGUUGCUACAGUUGUUACCCUUACCUGCUAUCCUACUGCUUAGUAUAGGAUGCUAGUGUUCCAUCAAUGGCCCUACACUCUUGUCCGUCUGCCAUGCUAUACUACUGGGCCGUGAUCACUUCGGGAGGUGAUCACGGGUAUAUACUAUAUACAUUAUAUACAUGACACAUGUGGUGACUAAAGUCGGGUCGGCUCGGUGAGUACCCGCAAGUGAUUCUGAUGAGGGGGCUGAAAGGACAGGUGGCUCCACCCCGGUAGAGGUGGGCCUGGGUUCCUGACGGCCCCCGACUGUUACUUGUGGCGGAGCGACAGGGCAGGUUGAGACCACCUAGGAGAGAGGUGGGCCUGGCCCUGGUCGGCGUUCGCAGAUACUUAACACGCUUAACGAGAUCUUGGUAUUUGAUCUGAGUCUGGCCAUUUGGUCUAUACGCACUAACCAUCUACGCGGGAGUAGUUAUGGGUAUCCCGGCGUCGUGGUAUCAGCCGAAGCUCUUCUUGACGUCAGCGACGGAGCGGCGCGCGCCGGAUUGGACUGGAACGCCUGCUAGGCUAGGUCUGCUUCCGGCCGCCCUCGCAACGUGCAGGUGUGCAAUGGGCGAUGGGCCCAGACCCCUGCGUGCAUAGGAUUUAGACCGGUGUGUUGACCUCUCUGUUGAGCCUAGGUGGGGCUGCGACAUGUUGAUCUUCCGAGGCCGGGCAUGACCCAGGAAAGUGUGUCCGGCCAAAUGGGAUCGAGCGUGUUGGGUUAUGUGGUGCACCCCUGCAGGGAAGUUUAUCUAUUCGAAUAGACGUGUCCCUCGGUAAAAGGACGACCCGGAGUUGUACCUUGACCUCAUGACAACUAGAACUGGAUACUUAAUAAAACACACCCUUCCAAGUGCCAGAUAUAACCCGGUGAUCGCUCUCUAACAGGGCGACGAGGAGGGGAUCGCCGGGUAGGAUUAUGCUAUACGAUGCUACUUGGAGGACUUCAAUCUACUCUCUUCUACAUGCUGCAAGAUGGAGGCUGCCAGAAGCGUAGUCUUCGACAGGAUUAGCUAUCCCCCUCUUAUUCUGGCUUUCUGCAGUUCAGUCCACUGAUAUGGCCCUUUACACAUAUACCCAUUGCAUAUGUAGUGUAGCUCCUUGCUUGCGAGUACUUUGGAUGAGUACUCACGGUUGCUUUUCUCCCUCUUUUCCCCUGUCUAUACCUGAUUGACGCAACCAGAUGCUGGAGUCCAGGAGCUAGAGAUCCCGAGGAUGAUUCUACAUGGAGUUCGGCUUCGAGGAGUAGUUAGGAGGUCCCAGGCAGGAGGCCUUGCCUUUUCGAUCGUUGCUACUUUUGUGCUAGCCUUCUUAAGGCAAAUUUGUUUAACUUAUGUCUGUACUCAGAUAUUGUUGCUUCCGCUGACUCGCCUAUGAUCGAGCAAUUGUAUUCGAGCCCUCGAGGCCCCUGGCUUGUAUUAUGAUGCUUGUAUGACUUAUUUAUGUUGUAGAGUUGUGUUGUGAUAUCUUCCCGUGAGUCCCUGAUCUUGAUCGUACACAUUUGCGUGCAUGAUUAGUGUACGGUCAAAUCGGGGGGCGUCACAAGUUGGUAUCAGAGCCGACUGCCUGUAGGAAUCCCCCUUCCAAACUCCUUGGCCGAAGUCGAGUCUAGCCUUUACAAAACUUUUACUAACAUGGCUGUGUGGCUUACGGGCCCACGUCGCCAUUGGGUGGUAUUAGGAUCUUUUACUCCUUGUCUAUACUCUGGGACUCUGAUCUCUCUCCUAUUCGGGUUAAAUGAAUUUUGCUAAAUCUAACAUUAGGAUCUCGUUAUCACUUUCACCCGGAGAGCCCCUUAUUACUGAUGAUCGUCUGCUGCACGUGAAGACCCUGAAGAUACUCUCCGCUGAUAACCCGAGAACUUGUGUUCAUCGCUUUUGCAAUUCCCUUUCAUCGAUAAACUCCUAUGGAUAACCGCGUAUACUUGCCAUUCAUACAAUGUUUCCCAGUUGAUCUUGUUAUUACAAGAUACCCCGAAAUUAUCUCUGUUGUUCCGAGAAUCCUUGAACUUACUGCCUUGCUGUUCUUUGUCACCUGAAUACCCCUACGGAUAAUUCUCGCACUUACCGAGUAUCCGCUCAUCCCCAGUUGAAUUCAAGUAUAUCACAAAAGUGUUCAGAAUACCAAUCGAUCUUCUGAAAAUCCUCAGGAGCCUAUUGCUCUUGAAAUUCUUGCUUACUAGUAUUAUGAUUAAUCCCAUAAGUCUCGAAAUCUUAUUGGCACCCUUUGUCAUUAUCUUUUUGAGUCCAUUGAUUCAAUAUGUUGCGAAUGCUCGCAAUCCUCAAUCAGAUCCUAGAAUUCAUCCUUCCGGCUCAGACAUCAUUUUUAACAUGAGCUGGAUCUCGACCAAUCAAAUCGUCAUCGAUUGUACCCCUAAGCCUACUCAACUUAUCCAUCCUUGAUCAGAGCGUUGCUUCUGACCCCCUGAUUUGGAAAUCAUAAUUCUUUUACAUUUGAACUUUGAGUUAGUCAGUUGUUUCUAUAAUCAGAUCUCCUUGCAUUCUUCCUCCUCUGGUUGAGUACCGAUGCUCACAUCAGAUCCCUUGUGGACCAUCGGUUCCUUUGUUGGAUUUUAUCCGACAGCGUCCUUCCUAUUGAAUAACCUUGUGAGCCUUUCCAUGGGUAUUUAAUGCCUUUGGUAAAUUGUAUCAUCUGCUUUGGAACAAUGCUCUUCUUUCGAGCUUGUAAUAUUUACUCCGAAGUUUGUGGUAUAUGUUCCUAAGAUGCCCUGAUGGGUUGAACCUAUGCCUUCCUUAAUCUGUGUGAACCCGAAAGUUUUCCAAGGUUCAUACUCCUCUGGUAAUUCACCAGGUAGGUCUUCGCACUCAAAUUAUUUUUAAUAGAGCAGUGAAUGAAAGGUUAUGCAUUGCAGAAGUGGGAGUCGACCUUGAACCUUCGUGUUCAUGCCCAUGGACACGAUGUAGAUCCUAUCAUGGAAGCUUCUUAUAAUAAUAGCUAUUUCCCUGGUAUAAUAUCAUCUAGUAUCGGUGAAUUAAUCCUUUGCAAUCGUGGAUCCGACCAUGUUUCUCCUUGAUUCCGUUUCUCGUGCAAGUUUGAGCACUUGUCUUCUGCAAAGCAAUACCCUAGUCCAACCUCUACCUUGAUCUGUCGUCGAGUAUUACCCCCUGGUAUCCCGAGAUUAUCACGGAACUGCAUAACUUCUUAUGAGUUCUCCAUCAAGUAUUACAUUCUCAUUUAUUCCAAUUUUUCACGAGCCCCGAGUUAUUAAACACUCAAGGACAUCGAUAACUGAAUCGAGUCCGCAUCACGAUUAAACAACUCUUAGUAAUCUCCUUUGCUUACGAGUUUGUACUCGAUCACGUCAUCCCUAGCCUGCUCGGCUAUGUCAUUAUCAUGCAACUUUUUAACUGUGCUAUCUGGUCCUUCUUUCCGAAGCACGAUUUUCAACGAUGAGCUAAGCUUACGCCGACCUUCCUCGUCUUAUCAAUUCUCCUUGGACAACAAGCUUGGUCUCGAGUUUGUGUCGUACCCGUGGUUUCAAUAACCUUUCGCUUCAUCAUUCCUUUGACUUGAUGUCAUCGCCGAUCGAUUACACCUUCAUGAAAUCUCUCGACAAAUGUGUCGUGAUCAUCAUGAGCAUUCUGAGUCCUUCCAGAAUAUCAAUUGAAUUCAUGAUGAGAAAGACCAUCCUUUCCCUUGAUGAUUUGUGUUAUCAUCGGCCACUUUACUGCCUUCCCUCCAACACAAACUUGUUCGUGUUUUGUGUUAUACCUUGAGAUCCUUGCUAUCCAGCAUUUGUUCCUCUUUACUUUGGAGUAAUACCAAAUUUUAUAUCAAGAAUGUCGUGAGAAUUUCACCACCUCUUUAGAAUUCUUGAUAUAGUAAUACAUCUUACCGUCUACAUUCAGUUCUUGGUCCCCAUGUUGAUUUUAACCGAAGUACCCACAAAUGAACUGUGAUGUGUAAAAUUCAAAACUUCCAGCAACCCUAUUGCUUGUAAGUUAAUGAACGAUAGUUCAUUCCUUGUGGAUUGGUUAUCGAAUCACCAUUCUAACCUUGAUCAUGCUACCUAAGCCCAUAUUCGGGUGCACCUUUCAACCAAUGUUUAAUUGUGUAUGUUUUCCUCGAGCAUACAUCAUUAAGUCAUUCGAUCUAGCUAUUGCUAUCUCCUUGUUCACAUAGUUGUGGAAAUCCAUCUUUUGGAAAUCUGAAUGGAUUGUCGCUGAGUCAAUCAGUCACCUCCUCACCUCUCCUUGAUUUAAUGAUGAACCCUUGUUCGGAACUCGCUUCCAUAGUUCAUCUCCCGAGAAUCUUCGAUGUCGUUUCGACAAUUUGUGUUGCACCUUUCUUCUCAGGCAUCCUGAGUCUGAGUUAUCCUGACACCAAUCCAAUCUGAAUCUCGGUCAAAUAUGAUGGUUGGAACAUAUUUCCAAGAGUUAUAACAUUGGUCUCUACAUAACCCGGUAAGGUGGUGUCUUUGCUUAGCACCCCUAGUCAGAGGACCUUUUGUUAUAAUUUCCUUUUUUAGCAAGGUUAACUAUUCUUCCAUGAGGAAAUUGUAAGACUUACUCUAUAAGUUGUUCCUGAUGGAUCCUUUGUGUAUCCAUGGCCUGAUCUUACCUAUUGACCAUGUCAAUGCUAUCUCGAAGCAUGUCUAUGGUACUCUGAUUUUCAACAGGAACAUUUGAAGCCCAAAGCUAAUUGUUUCCUGCUCAAUUAUCCAAACACCGUUGUAUGGGUAAUGUCAUGAAAAUUCUCUCCCGUACCUAAAGAGUUUUCUACAUUAUAUCAUGUCAUGGAUAUCAUGCUCUGCUUGUCCUAGGGAAGGAUACACCCUUGAAAUAUGUGUUUAAACACAUUUUCCUUUCCAUUCUUCUGUUUAAUCUGAUAAUCAUAUUUUCCUUCCCAUUGUUUGGUUUAACCUUUCUGGUGAUCUAUAUGAUCUAAGCAGUAAUAUUCUCCUGCUUAUGUAAACACCUCGGUGUACAAUUCUGUCAGCAAGACCCUGUUACUAUUGUUGAUGACAUCCCGGUAGCCACCGAUGGACGAGAACUUUGCCUUAUGGUCCGCCUCGUUUCAACGAGCAGGAAAAUGGUUCUCUUCGUCCCUCGCCCUUGGUACCAACGUGUUGCCGACAUAACUGACAGGGUACUCUCUGACAUGCCUUGCUAUCAUGACCAUGCAACAUGUCACUGCUCCUAUAAAAAAAACCCCACAUGGUGGGCCCAUAACCCACAGUUCCACAGGAUCGAAAACUGACUCUCCUGUACACCCCUGUUGCCAAAGCUAUUCAUUUUGCUUGACUUCGUAAGUAAUUCACGGGUCACCUUCCUAGUGCUCAAUUUUGGUAUCAGACACAAUACUUAUUCCCGUUGCUUAGAACCCUUCAGGCAUCAAACGAUUGCCUGCCCGCUCGAAACUUCCCCACGAUACCUCCUUACUUUGCUCUCGAUAUUGUCUUAAAUUUCCAUUCGAGAGUUACUUUCCGCCACCUUCCCCGAUGUUAUCAACCAGAUAGUCAACCGUUCAGAGGCCUAUUAUUCCGAAGUUACCCCUUGUCCUUCGUAAGUACGAUGGAGUUCCCGAAGGAAGGAUGCCAGCUUCAUCAUGAUGACCUGAAGCAGGAAAAUGAAGACAUCAACGUAAUGGAUCAACCGCUUCGAGAAGAGCAACCAAGAUCGAGAACGCUCUUAGAAUUUCGUGACCAAAUCCCUUUCCCGUCACUUCCCCUCUUAAAUCUCGGGACGAGAUUUCUUGUAGUGGAGGAGAAUUGUGACGCCCGGAUAAUUAGGCUACAGUAAUCCCACGUUAAUGAUGCCACGUCACCACGGUUACUGUUGUUAAUCUCGUGUUAGUUCAAAAUCGAUUCGAAAUUCAAACUUAAAAUAAAGUCAAACGGUAAAGAUUUUCAAAUAUCAAAACUAAAAUGUUGGGGUGUUGCCAAAUAAGGCAUAGGUAAUUAUUGUGGAGAAACCACACUUUUAUAAAAUGUUUAAAGGCUCUAAAGUAAUUAAAACAGCAGCUAUGACAAUUAAAUAAAUGCCUUUUAAAAAUAAUAAUAAUGCAAACUAUUUUAAUUAGGUGUCAAACUUUUUGGGGCAGUAGAAUAAAUUAUAACAUUAAAUUAGGAGUUGUAUUUAUAUUUUAUAAAACAGAAAUUAAAAGAAUAAAAUAGAAAAGAAAAUAGAUAAAGAAAAGAAAACAGAAAAGAAACAAAAAAAGGAAAGACAAAGCCCCCCUCCCCCUGGGCCAUUCGGCCCAACUGGGCAUCCAGGCCACCAGGAGGCCCACCCCAUUCCCCCUUAUCCCCCUGACCGACCGAACCCUAGCCCGAUCCCCUUUCCCCACUCGCCCCACUCCCUCUCCCUCGUCCCACUCCUCCUCNNNNNNNNNNNNNNNNNNNNNNNNNNNNNNNNNNNNNNNNNNNNNNNNNNNNNNNNNNNNNNNNNNNNNNNNNNNNNNNNNNNNNNNNNNNNNNNNNNNNNNNNNNNNNNNNNNNNNNNNNNNNNNNNNNNNNNNNNNNNNNNNNNNNNNNNNNNNNNNNNNNNNNNNNNNNNNNNNNNNNNNNNNNNNNNNNNNNNNNNNNNNNNNNNNNNNNNNNNNNNNNNNNNNNNNNNNNNNNNNNNNNNNNNNNNNNNNNNNNNNNNNNNNNNNNNNNNNNNNNNNNNNNNNNNNNNNNNNNNNNNNNNNNNNNNNNNNNNNNNNNNNNNNNNNNNNNNNNNNNNNNNNNNNNNNNNNNNNNNNNNNNNNNNNNNNNNNNNNNNNNNNNNNNNNNNNNNNNNNNNNNNNNNNNNNNNNNNNNNNNNNNNNNNNNNNNNNNNNNNNNNNNNNNNNNNNNNNNNNNNNNNNNNNNNNNNNNNNNNNNNNNNNNNNNNNNNNNNNNNNNNNNNNNNNNNNNNNNNNNNNNNNNNNNNNNNNNNNNNNNNNNNNNNNNNNNNNNNNNNNNNNNNNNNNNNNNNNNNNNNNNNNNNNNNNNNNNNNNNNNNNNNNNNNNNNNNNNNNNNNNNNNNNNNNNNNNNNNNNNNNNNNNNNNNNNNNNNNCUGCGCGCUGGCCGCGCCCAGCGCCUCCCCCGCUGAGGCCUCUCUGCCGCGCCCGUGGCUGCGUCCAGCUGCGCCGUGGCCACGCCGUCGUGCCCUUUCCCCCGCCGUGGCUCGCAUCCGCCCCGCUCGCCGCCCCUGCUUCACUCCCCGUCCGCCCUUACGCCGCGCCCGUCUCCAGCCGUCGCCGCCUCCUGCCACGACCCUCUGGUGCCACCCCCCUCCACUCAGCCACGCCGGCCCCGAGCGCGACGGCCACAUCCCGCUCGCCCGGCCUGGCCGCGCCUCCUACCUCCCACUCCCCACCUAACUGUCUGCGCCGCCAUGACCUUGGGCCCGCCCACAUGGGGGCCGCACGCGCUAGCCGCUGCCGGCUCCGGUCGCCGUGGCCCUGGGCCCCCCCCUCCGCGCCUGGUGCUGGCGCUCGUCGCCGACGCCUUCUCUGUGCAAGAGCGCACAACCAGGACGCAUGGCCGUGUGCCACUGGCCAAUGGGGCCCGUUCCCUGAAAAGGAAAAGAGACAGAAACAAAAGAGAAAGAAAGAUUUGGUAAAAAAAUAAAAAAUAAAAAUAAAUUGAAUUGAAUUAAUUAAAUAAAUUAAUUAAGUUAAUUAAUCCUGUUUAAAUUAAUCUAAUUAAUUAGUUAAUUUAAUUAAACAGUAAUUAGUUUAACUAAACCCUAAUUAACCUAACAGAGUAUGACACAUGGGUCCCACUGGACCCACGCGUCAGUUAGACCCAGUCAACCCCUGUUGACUGCUGACGUCAGCAUGACAUCAUGCUGACGUCAUAAAUGCAUUUUAGGAUUAAAUUAAUUCUGUUAAUUCUAGAAAAUGAUAAAAUCCUUUUAAAAUUAAUAUAAAAUAAACCGUAGCUCGGAUGGAAAAACUUUGUACAUGAAAGUUGCUCAGAACGAUGAGACGAAUCUGGAUGCGCAGCCCGUUUGUCCGCCACACAUCCCUAGCAUAGCAAACACGCAACUUUCCCCCUCCGGUCCGUUUGUCCGAAAACGCGAAACAUCGGGAAUACUUUCCCGGAUGUCCCCCCCUUCGCCGGUACCUCCUACUGCCGCGUUAGGGCACACCUAGCACCGCUCAUUGUCAUGUCACGCAUCGUCAUGCUUAUGUUUGCAUUGUAUUUACUGUUUCUUCCCCCCUCUUCUCUCCGGUAGACUACGAGACCGACGCUGCUGCUGCCCAGUUCGACUACGGAGUUGACGACCCCUCCUACUUGCCAGAGCAACCAGGCAAGCCCCCCCUUGAUCACCAGAUAUCGCCUAUUCUUCUCUAUACUGCUUGCAUUAGAGUAGUGUAGCAUGUUACUGCUUUCCGUUAAUCCUAUCCUGAUGCAUAGCCUGUCAUUGUUGCUAUAGUUGUUACCCUUACCUGCUAUCCUACUGCUUAGUAUAGGAUGCUAGUGUUCCAUCAAUGGCCCUACACUCUUGUCCGUCUGCCAUGCUAUACUACUGGGCCGUGAUCACUUCGGGAGGUGAUCACGGGUAUAUACUAUAUACAUUAUAUACAUGACACAUGUGGUGACUAAAGUCGGGUCGGCUCGGUGAGUACCCGCAAGUGAUUCUGAUGAGGGGGCUGAAAGGACAGGUGGCUCCACCCCGGUAGAGGUGGGCCUGGGUUCCUGACGGUCCCCGACUGUUACUUGUGGCGGAGCGACAGGGCAGGUUGAGACCACCUAGGAGAGAGGUGGGCCUGGCCCUGGUCGGCGUUCGCAGAUACUUAACACGCUUAACGAGAUCUUGGUAUUUGAUCUGAGUCUGGCCAUUUGGUCUAUACGCACUAACCAUCUACGCGGGAGUAGUUAUGGGUAUCCCGGCGUCGUGGUAUCAGCCGAAGCUCUUCUUGACGUCAGCGACGGAGCGGCGCGCGCCGGAUUGGACUGGAACGCCUGCUAGGCUAGGUCUGCUUCCGGCCGCCCUCGCAACGUGCAGGUGUGCAAUGGGCGAUGGGCCCAGACCCCUGCGCGCAUAGGAUUUAGACCGGCGUGUUGACCUCUCUGUUGAGCCUAGGUGGGGCUGCGACGUGUUGAUCUUCCGAGGCCGGGCAUGACCCAGUAAAGUGUGUCCGGCCAAAUGGGAUCGAGCGUGUUUGGUUAUGUGGUGCACCCCUGCAGGGAAGUUUAUCUAUUCGAAUAGCCGUGUCCCUCGGUAAAAGGACGACCCGGAGUUGUACCUUGACCUUAUGACAACUAGAACUGGAUACUUAAUAAAACACACCCUUCCAAGUGCCAGAUAUAACCCGGUGAUCGCUCUCUAACAGGGCGAUGAGGAGGGGAUCGCCGGGUAGGAUUAUGCUAUACGAUGCUACUUGGAGGACUUCAAUCUACUCUCUUCUACAUGCUGCAAGAUGGAGGCUGCCAGAAGCGUAGUCUUCGACAGGAUUAGCUAUCCCCCUCUUAUUCUGGCGUUCUGCAGUUCAGUCCACUGAUAUGGCCCUUUACACAUAUACCCAUUGCAUAUGUAGUGUAGCUCCUUGCUUGCGAGUACUUUGGAUGAGUACUCACGGUUGCUUUUCUCCCUCUUUUCCCCUGUCUAUACCUGAUUGACGCAACCAGAUGCUGGAGUCCAGGAGCUAGAGAUCCCGAGGAUGAUUCUACAUGGAGUUCGGCUUCGAGGAGUAGUUAGGAGGUCCCAGGCAGGAGGCCUUGCCUUUUCGAUCGUUGCUAGUUUUGUGCUAGCCUUUUUAAGGCAAAUUUGUUUAACUUAUGCCUGUACUCAGAUAUUGUUGCUUCCGCUGACUCGCCUAUGAUCGAGCAAUUGUAUUCGAGCCCUCGAGGCCCCUGGCUUGUAUUAUGAUGCUUGUAUGACUUAUUUAUGUUGUAGAGUUGUGUUGUGAUAUCUUCCCGUGAGUCCCUGAUCUUGAUCGUACACAUUUGCGUGCAUGAUUAGUGUACGGUCAAAUCGGGGGCGUCACAGAGGCGCAGGUAGAGAGGGAUGAGGAAUUGUUUUUGGCGCCAGCAACUAAAAUAUGAGUAAUGCUACGUCCACAGAUAGGUCAAGGGGGAUCUACGGGCUGGCCGGAGCACUUAAAUUUAGGGUAUAAUUAGGAGAAGUUAUUUAUUUAUUAGGUCAAUUGACUAAAAGAGUUAUUUAGGCCAAUAAAAUCAGGACAUGUCAGUUUUUUCCUAAUUAUCACCUAAAUCUUCCGAUAAACUUUGUAGGUGGAGCAUUAUAGCUAAAAAUCCAGAUCAAACUUCGAAACACACACCGGGAAAAAAAAUCUGAAAUAAAUUGUUCCAAAAGAACACAAAACAUGAAUAGUGACAGAAAUAACACUAUUCGCAAAAGGAAUUUUCUUUUUCAAUGUAUAUUUCGAAUUUUGAUCUGAAUUUUUUAGGGGUUAUAGACUAUGUCUUGUGAACAUCCACCAUUUUUUUCAGAAUUUUUUGAAACAUCUUAAUGUGAUUACUUUAAAAUUAGAGCAUGGGAGCAUGUGAAAGGUGGACAUGUUUCAGUGUCUCUUCGAUUUUCUAGAAUAGAGAGCCUUAGUGCGGAUCUACAAGAAUGAGAACAUGUAGUAUUUGAACCUGAGUUCACAUGCUCUGUAAUGAACAGUCAAAUCAGAAAAUAAGUUCGAAAAAUAAAAAAAAUUAUGACUUUUUUGUGGUAAACAUUGAUGAACGCUUCAACCGUGCAAAAUGUUGUGAUGAAAUCACAAUCGUGCAGGUCUGGGCAAAAAAGGCAAAAUCAAUGCUUUAAAAAGACUAUUGUUGGAGGGAAAAUUUUGUUCGCCACUCCAGAUUUUGACAUUUCACUUUUGCCACUCUUAGUUUUUGACAAUUGACAAUUAUCACAAUUGCCAUUAUGUGGCAAAAGCUAAAUUUUCGGAGUGGCAAUUGUGAUACAUUGUCAAAAGCUAAGAGUGACAAAAAUAAAAUAAAUGAUUUUGCUUUUGCCACGGAAUGGCAAUUGUGAUAAUUCUCAAAAGAUAAGUGUGACAAAAGUGAAAUGUCAAAAUCUAGGGUGGCAUAAGAAAAAUUGACAAAAUCGAUUGUCAUUUCAUCACAAAACAUUGCACCUAGUUAAAACAUUCAUCAAUGUUUGUCACAAAAAAACUCGGAAUUAUUUUAAUUUGUUACUGUAGUUUUUGAAUUUUACUAUUCACCACGGAGCAUGUGCGCUCGGGAUCAAAAGAGCACUUUUUGUAGAAUGACUCCAUCCUCACCACGGAGCAUGUGUACUCCCGACGUCAAGUUACUCAAACGCUUCACCCCUGCGAGAACCCAAAGCUUUGCUUGUUCUUUAAAAUGUAAAAGUUGAUUCGCGGUGGCGUAGAUUUCUUUCGAAAGACCUUCAUGUUUCUCUCAUUUCGGAUUGACCAAGUGCUGAGCAUCACAAGGGACACUAAUGCCUUGCUACCGGUGGCAGUUGAGUCCACCAAUCACCCACGGAGUGAUAAGCCCAUUAGGAGGGGUCGAGGUUAUCGAGAUCCGAGACCUAACCAAGCUUUGAUCAACCUCUAAACACACAUUACAGACAACUGAAAACAUAUACUACUCCCUCCCUUCCUAAAUAUAAGUCAUUUUAAAGAUUUCACUGUAGGCUACAUACGGAGUAAAAUAAGUGAAUCUAUACUCUAAAAGGUGUCUAUAUACAUCUGAAUGCAGUCUUUAUAGUGGGAUAUCUAAAAGGACUUAUAUUUAGGAACGGAGGGAGUAUGAUGCAUGCACGUAUAGAAAAAGGUGAACCUCCCAGAAAAAAAUGGUAAUGUCAUCAGUCCAUACCAACGUUGCCCGUAGCAAAGUUAGAUUCCUCGGAGACAAGAUUGAAGAAACAAAUAGCAUUGCAUCUUACUCUCUUCGUUCCUAAAUAUAAGUCUUUCUAGAUAUUUCAAUAAGUGACUACAUACAAAGCAAAAUGAGUGAAUCUAUAUUUUAAAAUAUGUCUACAUACUUCCAUACGUUGUAGUCCAUUUAAAGUGUCGAACGGAGGGAGUAGAUAACUCGGAAUGAAAAUUAACUCGGACAACGAAGUCAGCAGGGCAGAUAGCCCUCCGUGCCACCAACCCCCGUCCCCCUCGCGCGGCGCGCACCAACCAGUUCGUGCUUUGCCCACGUCGACUCAGUCCGGCUGCCACAAAGCGAGCACCGCGCGUAGCCACCGCCCCCGCUCCGUGCGCUCCCGUGGCGACAGGAGCUCCGCACCAACCAAUUCAGUGGUCAACCUCGCCGUCCAGCUCUACACCAACCCACUGCCUCACACCUACUCCUACUACUCGGUUGCGCCUCCGCUGCCUAUUUAUUCCCUCCCCUCCCUCCAUUCCCCUCCAAGAAGAGCUUCAGCUUCAUCUGCAGCUACAGCUCCUCUUCAGCACAACCCUUUCUUCAGGACACAGAUCAAUCCAGAUACGCAUACACCACCUGCCGAGUGCCGACGUCUAGCUGCUAGCUUACUUUCGGAAUCCAGAUACACAUACACUUGGUUUAGUACGUCUGUGCAUAUUUCAAUGGAGUGCGAGAACGUCAAUGGAGAUGGCUUGUGCGUGGCACAGCCGGCGCGGGCUGACCCGCUCAACUGGGGGAAGGCGGCGGAGGAGCUCUCGGGGAGCCAUUUGGAGGCGGUGAAGCGGAUGGUAGAAGAGUACCGUAAGCCGGUGGUGACCAUGGAGGGCGCCAGCCUAACCAUCGCGAUGGUCGCCGCGGUGGCUGCCGGCAGCGACACCAGGGUCGAGCUCGACGAGUCCGCCCGCGGCCGCGUCAAGGAGAGCAGCGACUGGGUCAUGAACAGCAUGAUGAACGGCACCGACAGCUACGGUGUCACCACCGGCUUCGGCGCCACCUCUCACCGGAGGACCAAGGAGGGCGGCGCUCUCCAGAGGGAGCUCAUCCGGUACGAAUUGAACCGCCGAAGAAGUUCCACUUCUACUUCCUGUUAAGCACUUCUGUCAUGUGUAUGAGUUGCGUUUAUGGAAGCCUUAUUUUUUCUUGUGUUGCUUGCCUGUUCAGAUUCCUUAACGCUGGAGCCUUCGGUACCGGCACUGACGGCCACGUUCUGCCUGCCGCGGCGACAAGGGCGGCGAUGCUCGUCCGAGUCAAUACCCUGCUCCAGGGAUAUUCAGGCAUCCGCUUCGAGAUCCUGGAGACGAUCGCCACACUUCUCAACGCCAACGUGACACCAUGCCUACCGCUUCGGGGCACGAUCACCGCGUCGGGUGACCUCGUCCCGCUUUCCUACAUCGCCGGCCUGGUCACCGGCCGCCCAAACUCCAUGGCGACGGCUCCGGAUGGUUCGAAGGUUAAUGCUGCGGAGGCAUUUAAGAUCGCUGGCAUCCAGCACGGCUUCUUCGAGCUACAGCCCAAGGAAGGCCUUGCCAUGGUGAAUGGCACGGCAGUGGGCUCAGGCCUUGCAUCCAUGGUGCUUUUUGAGGCAAACGUCCUUAGCCUCCUUGCUGAGGUCUUGUCGGCCGUCUUCUGUGAGGUCAUGAACGGCAAACCGGAGUUCACCGACCACUUGACCCACAAGUUGAAGCACCACCCCGGGCAAAUUGAGGCUGCUGCCAUCAUGGAGCACAUCCUUGAAGGCAGCUCCUACAUGAUGCUCGCAAAGAAGCUCGGUGAGCUUGACCCACUAAUGAAGCCAAAGCAAGAUAGAUAUGCACUCCGCACGUCGCCGCAGUGGCUUGGCCCUCAGAUUGAGGUCAUCCGUGCUGCCACCAAGUCAAUCGAGCGGGAGAUCAAUUCCGUCAACGACAAUCCACUCAUCGAUGUCUCGCGCGGCAAAGCUAUCCAUGGUGGCAACUUCCAGGGCACGCCCAUCGGUGUGUCCAUGGACAACACCAGGCUUGCCAUUGCUGCAAUCGGCAAGCUCAUGUUUGCCCAGUUCUCGGAGCUGGUGAACGACUUCUACAACAACGGUCUGCCUUCCAACCUCUCCGGCGGGCGCAACCCAAGCUUGGACUAUGGCUUCAAGGGUGCCGAGAUUGCCAUGGCCUCGUACUGCUCCGAGCUCCAAUUCUUGGGCAACCCUGUGACCAACCAUGUCCAGAGCGCGGAGCAACACAACCAAGAUGUCAACUCUCUUGGUCUCAUCUCCUCAAG
RNAcentral lists this long non-coding RNA (26969 nucleotides) under Triticum aestivum (bread wheat). RNAcentral's name for it is "long non-coding RNA (TAES_LNC024478)". Lineage: Eukaryota; Viridiplantae; Streptophyta; Magnoliopsida; Poales; Poaceae. The record is from RNAcentral.